Molecule: long non-coding RNA, 1089 nt
Organism: Aquila chrysaetos chrysaetos
Lineage: Eukaryota; Metazoa; Chordata; Aves; Accipitriformes; Accipitridae
Exons: 2
Source: RefSeq, a predicted model, not a curated record
CAGCAACACCGGGGACCAUCUUCGAGGUGCAAACCAGACAAAGAGCAAGUACGGCUGAAUCCCAGACGGCGAGACGGGGCCGAGCACCAGACAGCUGGAAGGCUCACGAGGAUGUGCUGGAUGGGAGCAGCGCAGCCAGGCGAGCACAGAAACCCCGGUCCCUCCAGCCCGGCACAAGGCCAGCAGCCCAGCUCAAGCGCUCCCUCCGGACCCACCUCGGAUGGUCUGCGGUUCAUUUAGUGACUGGCCUGAACUUCAGCGCUGGAAGGGUGGAUGUUCCACCACCUCAACAGUAACUGAAUCCCAUCCACAACUGUAGCAGCGGUUUCAGAUGCUGACUUGAAUGAAACGUUUUCCCACAAUUUCCAAAUUUAAUUCUCAAUAGUGAAAGGGUGAGAGGUUCAGAAAUAACACAGGAUCAGGUGACCACUGAGAAGUGAAUAAAAUAGAGCAAACUCUUGGUCUUUAUUGCCCGUCACUGCAGCAGGACUUCUACUAUAUUGUGGAAAACAAAAUGAAAGACCUGGCAAAUAUGUAAGAGUAAUAUACCUCCAGCUGCAUGUAAUAAGACUGCAAUAGCAUUAAGAACUCCUGAGGUCAUUACAAACGACAGAUACAGGGCUCCACAGAUUAUUUACUUUCAUGAGGGACACAGGACAAAAUUAUAUGUACCUGAAUAUAUGUAGACUUUGUGAAUAUAUUAUUAGCUACAGUCAAGACUCUGAUUUUGCCACAAGAAUCAUUAGGAAAUACAGUUUUGGUGAAAAGUUAAAUAAGGUAUAAUUUCACCCAAAUACUUUAAGCCUCCAAAUAAAUGAGCAUUUUAUUUUUCAUUUUAAUGGGAACACAUACCUCUUGUGAAUACUCUUAUCAUGUAUAUGCAAACAAAGGUUUAAAUAUAUUUAACAGGCCAGAAUUUGUCUCAAGGUCAGUUGUACUGAAAUUUGUCCCUAAAUGUAGUUAAGUUUGUGUCUUCACAUUUUCUGGGUAAGAUUUUUAUAGUUUCGAUGCCAUUAUGAAGAACUGCCAUAAGAAUGUCCAUGUGAGAACUUCACAUGAAAACAGUAAAUAAAAGCAGCAUUUGUCACC